This 83-nucleotide transfer RNA is filed under the name Curvularia kusanoi. RNAcentral describes it as "tRNA-Val". Lineage: Eukaryota; Fungi; Ascomycota; Dothideomycetes; Pleosporales; Pleosporaceae. The record is from RNAcentral.
GGUUUUGUGGUGUAGUUGGUUAUCACGUUCGCCUCACAUCGAUUGAUCGCGAAAGGUCCCGAGUUCGAACCUCGGCGAAAUCA